GCAACUUCUUUUAGUACCAAAAAAAUAUUUAAACUUGGUAGAACUUUUUUAAUUGUUCUACAACAAAUUAAAUUUAUUUUAUAUUUAUAUUUUUAAAAUCUUGGAAAAUAUACUUUCCAAGCAUAUGUUCUUGUCAGAGGCGGCACUCUAGUGUUUUUGCCUUCAAUUUCCAUGCAAGCUAGACAAGAUUUGGCCAAUAAAUGUUGAUGGAAAGUGGGUUUUAACGACAUUACCACAAAAUCUAUAAGGAGCGUUUGGAAUAUGUAAUGCUGACCUAUCGUUUCUAUACAUUUUCUUAACUCAAAGAGUUUACGAGUUUCAAAGAACGUUUAACGAACAGUUUACAUUACGUAGCAAUUUCUGUAGAGGCUCAAUUGUGUUAUUUUGUCAUGUUUUUUGUUGCUGCGCUUAAUCGCCUCUUUUGUUGUUCACUUCCAUUCAAUAUUAAUUGCUAAACAUUAUCGAGCCGCUGCUUACAAUGCCAAGGAAUGUCAAAAUUCGAUUUCCACACCUGCCGAAGAAAUCGCCGUUAAUGAAUCGUUGUGUGAUUCAUGACCACUUUAGUGUGGGCGAUACCAAUUUCGCUGCAAUGUAAAGUGGUCAGUGAUAAUGUAGUGGCCGUGGUUAAUUUGUGCGAAGCGACCAUUAAAGGAAGUGACGAAGUCACCGAGGAUGGUUUGUGGCAAAGACGUGAAUGGAAUUUAUAGUAAUUUUUUUAUGAAGAUUGUGUUUUUUUUUUUUCAUUUAUAGUUUUAAAUAUUUUCUAAAUUUUAUAUAAAAUUUACUGUCCUUACUUUUUUGAUUUAUUUAAUAAUUAAUUUUCAAGUAAAUUAAGUAAAAACAAGUUUAAUUACAAUGAAAUUAUAAAAAUAAUUACAAAAGAUAAAACUGAACAUUUAAAAAGAACUUUUAAUAACGUUUUCUUUCAACCAUUCAUUGUUAUUUAUUUUGAUCCUGAUUUGUAUACAUAAAUACAAUACUAUUAUUUCCAAGUAUUACCGAAAAAAA
Lucilia sericata (common green bottle fly) is the source of this 1008-nucleotide long non-coding RNA. RefSeq lists it as uncharacterized. The transcript has 2 exons. NCBI's taxonomy places the organism in Eukaryota, Metazoa, Arthropoda, Insecta, Diptera, Calliphoridae. The record is from RefSeq and is a predicted model, not a curated record.